GCAGAAUGGCCACACAGAGGAGCAGAGAUUCCAGGAGAGGUAGAGACCACCCCAGCUCAAGGUUCCCUACUAUAUACCAUCUACUUCUAAGUGCCGAACUGACCAAGAGAGGAGCUGUGAGGAGGGUUGCUCUGAUCAGGUGACACCAUUACCCACGCAGAAAAUCUAUGCGACCAUACCUGUGAAUGACAUUAGUAAAGGCUAAUUUUGCAGCAAGAAACCAAAGCAACUGUGUGAUUUGUGGGCUAAUGCCCCCAAAUCGGUAAAAAAUUUCUCUACUGCCAAGGACACUCCACAUUCCCACUGAGCUCCUUGGAAACCCCAAAAGGAUGGAAAGCUUUCCUUGAUAUUCUAAAAAUCACUGUUCCUUGCUUUUUUAUACUUGUGGGAAGUGUGGAAGUAGUGCUCUGAAUUUUCCUAAAUAUAUAAUCACCACCAAAUACAGAAAACCUAUGAGUGAUGUCUGAAAGAGCACAAUGCAUGUGCAAAAGAGCUGCAGAUUGAUUAUGUGGGUGAUUUCCCUAAGCCAAAAAGAGAAAUGAAAAACAAAUGUUGAUAAUACUGGUGUUCAUCUGGACGCUGGCAUGGAACCAUUAAGGAAGGUUCUCAAGGAAAAGGAACAUGUGUUCUUGGAGCACCUAGCAGUUUCCAGGCACUCUGAAUGAUGGAUAGCAGGUCUGGCUAUUCCAAGGUUUUAUAUCAUCUUUUAUGUUUAGUGUGUCUCCUGGUUCCUGUGUGUUACCAGACUACCUACAAAAGAUCAGGCCAUUUUACAGACAACUAUGGUCCUGUAUCACCAUCAUUCCCCAAACAAAGACUAGGACCAAGCAGACUCAAAUACUGUUGAACUCUCUUUAGGUAUUGGCUAAGCUUUGGAUGAUUUGAUUUUGAUCAGUUUGGCUCACUGAGACACCUGUUACAGAAUGUACUUGAGUUUCUUGGUAUCACGGAUAGCAAGAUAGAAGUACUGUAAUAUCUCCUGACAUCCUAAAAUCUCCCUUGUGUAAUGUGCCUCCUCAAGUCAUAAACGUUUCUAUGCAAAUAUCCUGUGUCAUCAAGUGGUCAACAACAACAACAAAAAAAACAAAGCAUCAACAAUCAUCCAUCUCUUGUUAUUGUCAAUUGUGAAUUCCAAAAAUUGAUCAAAUCAGUCAGUUAUGUUGGUGACAGAAAGUGUUGUCAGUGCUCAAGGUCUCAGUCAAUCUCUCAAAAUUCACAGGCUGACCAAGAGCAGAGAACUGUUCAUUAAAUAUGGCACAAAGCUGCCUGUGUAUCUGGAAAACUACCUCAACAAGUCAAUAAACUGUACCCUGAGAAUAUGUUCAUAGAGUAAGUUGACGGGAUGUCAAAGGUUCAGCGUGUCACCUGCAGCAAACUGCUUAGAAGUGUGUGAAGGCAAAUGUACUGUGACCAAUAAAGCUAUUUCUAUAUGUCACUGUCUUGUUGUCUAUAGAUAUCACCUGCCACAUUCCUGGGUGGAUCAUUCUGAACCUUCUACCAAUUCAGAUGCACCUCAGGGUGUGUCUUUGUCCAAAGAAGCUGUAAAAUUAACUUGUCUAACCUUUUAUUAAGUAUCAGUAAAAACUAAGCGAUACAGUUGGCUUUGACAGGAAAUUCCUUGGAUCCUUAAAAAAUGUUCAUCUACAUUUGAAGAAUAAUUGAUACUAAUUGAAUGCUUGUGCUGGGUGUACCCCUUGUCCAAGCAGGGACAGUCAGGACUAAGGAGCAGAAUAAGCACAGGUGCCCAGCAAACAUUAAAUACAGACAAAAGUCAGAAUACUGGCUCAAAUCAAAUCUGCUCCACGCACUCAAAGAACUUACAACAUGGCACACCCUGAGGCUCCACUAAACAUCUACUAUGAUUUCUUUGUCACCCCUACUUCCCCCAAUCAAAACACUAAACAACUGGCUGAGGUGGAGAUGCUAAGUGACCAAAAGUGACUCUUCUCAGGGGACUCACCCUCCCAACACCCCAGGAUUACAAUCAUCCAGUGAAAAGAGGAAGUUUUCCACAAAUACUGAAUUGAGGGGCAGCCCAAGGGUUUGGAAGAAAACACUUGUAGUACUGCACUUUGCCCCAGGACUAACAUAACAUUUAACAAUAUAUAGUCUUGAUUAAAAUAGGAUUAUGGGCAGAGAAAGAGAUGUUUGUGGCUGUACCACUUAACUAGCUGUGAUCUGGAAAAGUGAGUUCCACCCGGGGUCCAUUUCUAACUACAAAAUUAAUUAGUUGGCUGAAUUUGGCCAGGCCAUUAGGAAGAGAAAAAUCGAGAAAAUCACUUUUCCGUGCAAUAAUUUGGCACGUGGUAGAGCAGUCGCUAGAGAUCUGCCAACCCCUGUUGUAUCUCCUCAUUGAACCAAGAACAUGAAGGUUAGCUAGUUUG
Molecule: long non-coding RNA, 2384 nt
Organism: Chinchilla lanigera (long-tailed chinchilla)
Lineage: Eukaryota; Metazoa; Chordata; Mammalia; Rodentia; Chinchillidae
Exons: 3
Source: RefSeq, a predicted model, not a curated record